GUGAGGAAUUUUCCGCAAUGGGCGAAAGCCUGACGGAGCAAUGCCGCGUGAAGGAUGAAGGCCUAUGGGUUGUAAACUUCUUUUCUUAGAGAAGAACAUUGACGGUAUCUGAGGAAUAAGCAUCGGCUAACUCUGUGCCAGCAGCCGCGGUAAGACAGAGGAUGCAAGCGUUAUCCGGAAUGAUUGGGCGUAAAGCGUCUGUAGGUGGCUUCAAAAGUCUCCUGUCAAAGAUCAGGGCUUAACCCUGGGCCGGCAGGAGAAACUCUGAGGCUAGAGUUUGGUAGGGGCAGAGGGAAUUCCCGGUGGAGCGGUGAAAUGCGUAGAGAUCGGGAGGAACACCAAAGGCGAAAGCACUCUGCUGGGCCACAACUGACACUGAGAGACGAAAGCGAGGGGAGCAAAAGGGAUUAGAUACCCGUGUAGUCC
RNAcentral lists this ribosomal RNA (426 nucleotides) under uncultured bacterium. RNAcentral's name for it is "partial 16S ribosomal RNA". It matches the Rfam family "Bacterial small subunit ribosomal RNA", at positions 354 to 796 of the family's 1533-position model. The record is from RNAcentral.